GUAUCCUGUUGUUUUGGGAUCAAUGUUUCUUAUUAAGUGAACUAAUUCAUCAACUUAAGUGAUUUCCCAUAUGCCUUAAAAGCUUUAGUGUUAGUGUUUUUGAAAAAUUGAUAAUUUUAUGGAAAUUUUGAAAGUUUUAGUGUGAUAUUGAAAUAAUGUGAACAUCUCCUGCAUACCCAUAAAGACCGAUCGACGCGCCACCUGUCACGUGCGCGAUGCGGCGUGAACUUGAACCAGAAAAGGUUGGGCGAUGGAGCGGACGCAACGUAAUUGCGUCUAGUGAGAAAAACGAAAAGUUCUACGUGAUGAUUCCCAUUUAGAUUCUCGAAGUUCCCGUCCGGGUUAGGGAAGUGGUCUACAACGCAACAAUUUCCUCUUGCAUGGAAGUUCAACACUAAGAGCAUCAACAAGUGAAUGACGUAGGUAAGAGAUGUACUGUGCAAAGGGUGAGGUAACGUAUCUUUUUAGUCCAAUAAAACUCGGCUCGGUCAGUCAUUCUCCAAGUCUUUUUUUAAACUCAA
Culex quinquefasciatus (southern house mosquito) is the source of this 521-nucleotide long non-coding RNA. RefSeq lists it as uncharacterized. The transcript has 3 exons. Lineage: Eukaryota; Metazoa; Arthropoda; Insecta; Diptera; Culicidae. The record is from RefSeq and is a predicted model, not a curated record.